This 22-nucleotide microRNA is filed under the name Parasteatoda tepidariorum (common house spider). RNAcentral describes it as "pte-miR-315-3p". Its record names the gene pte-miR-315-3p. Lineage: Eukaryota; Metazoa; Arthropoda; Arachnida; Araneae; Theridiidae. The record is from miRBase by way of RNAcentral.
CUUUCGAGCAAUGAUCAAACGU